CUAAACAACAGAGCCAUCCAGGCGCCCCAAUAAAUAUGUACCUUUAAGGUCUCAUCUGGCUCUGACGGCUUCUAAGUCACUUACCCAAGAUCACAGAGCCAGGAUUUGGUCCCAGGCAGUUGUGUUCCUAAUGGCAGUGUGCUUUGCCACGGCCCUACAUGGAUGUUUAUACAGGACUCACCGAUCAGAUUUGGUAAGGGGUUAGCUGACUAGGAGAAUGUAGGUGCCAUUGAUAGGAUGGUGGAGUCAAAGAAGGAAGCUAGCCUCAUGGGGAACAAUUAUGUUUCAGACAUGCUGAGUGUCAGGGGUUAACGGAACAUCUAGCUAACUGUUGGAAGGAUGGUAGAGCAGCUCUAGAGAGAGACAGGGAGGAGAUUUCAAUUUGGCAAUCGAAGACUUAAAGGCGAUACUGAAAGUUAUGGAAACAGACAAGUUUAUAGAAAGAGGAAGUGAGUAUAGGAGAGUGAAGAGCAAAGAACUGUCGGAAGUGAGAAGAGGGGGAGAAAAAGCCAAGAAAGAAACAAUUGAGUGUGCACCUCGAAUUAGCUACUUCCAUUUGCUGGCUCUUUCAUCUCUUCAUUUGUAAAACGAAGGGGUUGGAGCCAGUAAGCUACAAGGCUUUCAGGUGAGAUGUUCUAUGCAUAAUCAGAAAAGGUAGAAGAGAACAGAAUGCAAUGGAAACUGAAGAAGAGAGUUUCCAAAAGAAGGGGUCACUUGCAUCCAAUGCUGCAGAUGAAUCAGGGAAUGAGGACUUAGGCGAAGCCACUGCAAUUGGCAAUUUGAAGAUCCUCUCCACGAAUGUGAUCUCUCCUGGUGAAUGUUCCAUAUGAGUUUGAGAAGAAUGUGUAUUCUGCUGUUGUUGGGCAAAAUAGUCUAUGGAUGUCAAUUGUAUCCAGUUGAUUGAUGGUGCUGGACUGUGGUCUCCAGCAAAGGUGCCAUAGGUGCCCAGUACAGACGCCCCAAGACCCCACAGAAAUGCCUGAAAACUCCCCAUCUAAUUGUGCCUUCUUGGACCGCUGCCUCAGCGAGGUCGGCCAUUGGAGCCGGGACAGCUUGACCUUUGCUAGGAACUCAGAGCUGCCGGAGGUCUAGAACUGAAGGGAAACCGAGGCAGAAGCCCCGCUGGCGUCUCUCCCUCACCACUUCCCCUUCCAUCAGGGAAGUGAAGGGAAAAGCUUUAAAGGACAGCGAUGGGUUAAGCUCCUUAUAAGGAAGCGAGCCUCCUCUUUCCUGUACAGCAAUCGUUUUGCGCUCCUCUAUGUUUUAAAGUACGCGGCAAAGACGACGCCGGACAGGCUUCACCCAAACCAUUCCCCCGGGCGUGGGGGCCAACUAGGAGCCAAGGGAGAGAGGACGGAGCGGGGCGGGGAGGAGGCAACCGAGCGAAGCAUCGGAGGGAUGAGUCAUCAAAAAGAAGCGAGGCAAGAGAGCGGAACUAGUCACCGAAGCCGGGAAGGAGCCGAGCAUUCAUUAGACGGGCGUGAUGUCAAUCACAUCCGCUCCGCAAAUGCCCUGAGAGCCUUCGGGGCCUCCCAGACCGGAAGAAGGGUCUCGGUGGGCGGGUCUAACGGCCUUGAAAUCGGAAAAGACCGAGCGGAGCCGCCUUCAGAGGAGUGCGUUUCGGCACCGGCAGGCUUCUUGGAAAGAUGGCGUUUGCCAUCAAGGUCACAUGGCCACCUUACGGGACUAACGGAAAUACUAACUGGGAAUAAUAGGAACGGCCCUCUGUGGGAUCCGGAUUUUCAGAAGCAGUCUCAAAUCAAAAUCCACCCCCCUCUCCAGUAGACUCAUUUGUCAGAACACAUGUCCUAAACUACAACAUCAAAACAAUAUGUGGAGGGGUGGAGUUUCACCAGGGCUCUCCUCUCUCUAGGAGCAGGAGAUCUUGAGGGAACCCAGGGGCCAGGGUGACAGCAGAGUCCCAAGGCAGCACCGAUGCUCCCCACUGGGUCUGCCAUCUCACCAGAUCUAUGUUAGGCUAAAGACUGAGCAGCUUGGUCUAACCUCUGACUUCUCACCUGUUUUGAAAGGUUGCCUUGUACAUUGAACCAGAGAAGUUCACCUACAUUUAGGCUUUACUUGAUUGGAUAAGAAAUGUGAGUUUACCCAUAAAUUCAUCUGCUUGUAUGUUCUUUUGUUCAUAUUCUUGCUGACUCUCCUAGCAGCUGUUACUUUUUAAAAAUUUCAAGCCUAGGGGAUCUGUGGGUGGCUCAGCGGUUUAGAGCCGCCUUCAGCCCUAGGAUGUGAUCCUGGAGACGGGAUCAAG
Long non-coding RNA from Canis lupus familiaris (dog), 2266 nucleotides. RefSeq lists it as uncharacterized. The transcript is spliced from 3 exons. The record is from RefSeq and is a predicted model, not a curated record. Lineage: Eukaryota; Metazoa; Chordata; Mammalia; Carnivora; Canidae.